GAUGAACGCUGGCGGCGUGCCUAAUACAUGCAAGUCGAGCGAACAGACGAGGAGCUUGCUCCUUUGACGUUAGCGGCGGACGGGUGAGUAACACGUGGGUAACCUACCUAUAAGACUGGGAUAACUUCGGGAAACCGGAGCUAAUACCGGAUAAUAUUUCGAACCGCAUGGUUCGAUAGUGAAAGAUGGCUUUGCUAUCACUUAUAGAUGGACCUGCGCCGUAUUAGCUAGUUGGUAAGGUAACGGCUUACCAAGGCAACGAUACGUAGCCGACCUGAGGGGGUGAUCGGCCACACUGGAACUGAGACACGGUCCAGACUCCUACGGGAGGCAGCAGUAGGGAAUCUUCCGCAAUGGGCGAAAGCCUGACGGAGCAACGCCGCGUGAGUGAUGAAGGUCUUCGGAUCGUAAAACUCUGUUAUUAGGGAAGAACAAACGUGUAAGUAACUGUGCACGUCUUGACGGUACCUAAUCAGAAAGCCACGGCUAACUACGUG
This 497-nucleotide ribosomal RNA is filed under the name uncultured bacterium. RNAcentral describes it as "partial 16S ribosomal RNA". It matches the Rfam family "Bacterial small subunit ribosomal RNA", at positions 28 to 507 of the family's 1533-position model. The record is from RNAcentral.